UACGAAGGGGGCUAGCGUUGUUCGGAAUUACUGGGCGUAAAGCGCGUGUAGGCGGGUCUUUAAGUCAGGGGUGAAAUGCCAAGGCUCAACCUUGGAACUGCCUUUGAUACUGGAGACCUUGAGUCCGGGAGAGGUGAGUGGAAUUGCGAGUGUAGAGGUGAAAUUCGUAGAUAUUCGCAAGAACACCAGUGGCGAAGGCGGCUCACUGGCCCGGUACUGACGCUGAGGUGCGAAAGCGUGGGGAGCAAACAGG
This 253-nucleotide ribosomal RNA is filed under the name uncultured bacterium. RNAcentral's name for it is "partial 16S ribosomal RNA". It matches the Rfam family "Bacterial small subunit ribosomal RNA", at positions 524 to 776 of the family's 1533-position model. The record is from RNAcentral.